Ornithodoros turicata is the source of this 1196-nucleotide long non-coding RNA. RefSeq lists it as uncharacterized. The record is from RefSeq and is a predicted model, not a curated record. The transcript is spliced from 8 exons. Lineage: Eukaryota; Metazoa; Arthropoda; Arachnida; Ixodida; Argasidae.
CUUUUGCGGAGCUUCUCGAGCUUGUGCGUUCCCACCGGUUCCCGUAUGAUAAAUCGCCACCGAAUUUUAAGGACACUAUAAUGAAAGACAAUCGGUGGGGCGAAAUAGGCCAGCAGUUGGGUGUCACAGGUGAGUUCAAAGGACGUGGCAUAGUCUCACUAGUGGCUGCUUUGUCGCAACUCUUGGCGGCGAAUUCUAUUUCGUUGUAAUGUUGUGGUUCAUGUCACAGUAUAGUGUUUCCCAGUCUUUUGUCUCUACGCUGUCUACGCUGACACUGUAUAGCCUUGAAGUUCAAUUUAUCGGUCUAAAAUGCCGUAUGCUCUACCAGGGGCAGUCGCGGCACAGAAGUUUGCUACAAUGAAGACGAAGUAGCGACAGAAAGGAAGAAGUAUAUGGAAUCAAAGAGGAGCGGUAGCGGCGCACAUGAAGUGAGAUACCCAAAGUGGGCCUUCUAUGGUGUACUGGGCAGUUUCUUAGGCGACAGGGACAACAACUCGUUCACAACGUUGACUAAUGUGCCAGGCACCUCUGUAGUUGGAACAGAAGGAGGGGGAGAAGGCUAAUUCCGCGUAGAGCGGUUGUUACAAAGAAUGGUGCAUGGUGCAGAAGAUGUGGACGAUCUUGACGGUGCGUCUUCAAGCCACAGCCCUACGCUCACUCAUUCGACAGGGGAGUCAGCAACGUCAUCAAGGGCAGUAGAGCAAAUGUCUUCACAAAAUUCUGGUGCUACUAUCCCACCAUUAUCUACAAAAAAUAAGUACAAAUUUUGUGGUGUUUGAAGUUGCUGAGAAAGCGAAGCGGCGAUGAAAUCGUAGAUUGCAUUCGCGAGAAUAUGCAGUCAAUGAAUGAAUGGAAGUCUCAACAGCAACAGGACUAUCUCUUCUACUUUUCCAUGAUGAUGGUCGAGAGGCUGAGGCUCCUCUCGCCAAUGAGACGCCUGCGCUUCAUAACUAAAGUACAAAGUGAUCUUUUAGAUGCUGAAAUUGAAGAGAACGAGAUGAAUGAAAGUUUCACUUGAUUUAUUAAGAUGGAUGUACUACAUGAAAGAGGCAUGUGAUUGUCUUUUCGUUUUUCCUUCGCGUGCCUCAUGUUUACAUUCGUAGUUACUCAUCAAAUUUCUUGUCCCUGCUUGUUGAUGUUCUGUGAACACGAUAUGUACCAACUUUCUCAAACUCGAAUAAAUGUUAUUUCAUCCA